UUUCCAAAGAAGACACCAAAAAGGACAUGAAAAGAUGCUCAACAUCAUCAGUCAUAAGGAAAAUGCAAAUAAAUAACAGAGAUAUGGCUUCACACCCAGUAGGAAGGCAAUACUAAUAAAAACAUUGAAAAUAAGAUGUGUCAGUGAGGAUGUGGAAAAAUUAGAACACUAGUACAUUGCUGGGGGGAAGGCAAAAUGUUGCAGCACUGUAGAGAACAGGUUGACAUUUUCUCAGCAAUUCUACUCAUCGAUUCAUCGAUGUAUACUCCAAAUAAUUGAAAAGAGGCACUCAGGAAGUACUUUAUGCAAAUGUUCACAGGAUCACUACUCACAAUAGCCAAAAGGUGGAAACAAACCAAAUACCCUUAAUGAAAUUAUGGCUUACUUAUAAUAGAAUGAUAUACAUUCAUACAGAGGCAUGAAGUAUGAAUACAUGCUAGAAUGUGGGUGAACCUCAAAACAUCAUGCUAAGUGAAAGAAGCCAGGCACUAAAAGUCACGUAUUGUGUGACUGCCUUUAUAUAAACCAUCUAAAAUAGGUGAAUCCACAGAGACAUAAAGCAGAUUGCUGGUACAGGGGCAUGGGGAGACAGAGAAAUGGUAACUGAUUGCUUAAUGGAUACAGGAUUUUCUCUGGGGCUGAAGAAAAUAUUUUGGAGCUAGAGAGAGUUGGUGGUUGUAAAAUAUUGUGAAUACUACAUUACAAUGAAUUGUGCAUUUAAUUUUAUGUUAUAUGAAUUUAAUUUCAAUAAAAAGAUAUAACUGAAAAGGUAGCUACCCCUAGCCCCAAAAUAUUU
Molecule: long non-coding RNA, 796 nt
Filed under: Homo sapiens (human)
Lineage: Eukaryota; Metazoa; Chordata; Mammalia; Primates; Hominidae
Description: HSALNT0375149
Source: RNAcentral